AACAGAUUAUCUUUAGAAAUGUUCGCAAAAUUUUUGGUUUGGACACAAAAAACCAAGUGAAAAUAAUUCUGGAAAGGUACACUUUCUUAUAUCUAAACAUCACUGCAGCUUUCUAUUCUUCAUUUUUGUUUAUGUGUAUUUCAUCUGUGUUGCUAAUGAUAUUGCCAGUUUUUAUGAUUUUAUAUUGUUAAGUAAAGCAUCCUUAUGUUUUAGGCUAAAAUAGAGCUUUAACUAAUACUUUUUUCCUGUUCAAAUAAAUAACAACUCUGAAUUAUCUGUUUUGAUAGUCUUUAUUCAAUAACGGAUUUUUAAAUUGUUAUGAGUCUAAAACACAAUUUCAGCGUAAUUCAAUUAAAAAGUCAUGUUAUAGAAGACAGAAAAAUAUCAAUAUCUGUUUUUAAUAACUUGGAUUUCAUAGCAAAUCUGAGAGACUGUUUACCUUUUUAUUUUCUGUCCCAAUCUAACCUAGUGGGUUCAAAAAGAAGAGACCGCGCUGGAAACAUGAGUGGAUUAAAAGGAUCAUCCCUUUUUGAAUUAAUAGUCGAAGUGGUAACCAGCUAGAAGUCGUAACCUGCUCGUAUGAAAGGAUUUCUUGGCGUGAAAUUGUUAAUUUUAUUCAACAACGCCAAGAAAUAAAGCUUGCUCAAGAAACAGAAAAGAAAGAGAAAGAUGAACAAUAUUCUGA
This is a non-coding RNA of Hydra vulgaris (swiftwater hydra), 685 nucleotides long. The record is from RefSeq and is a predicted model, not a curated record. NCBI's taxonomy places the organism in Eukaryota, Metazoa, Cnidaria, Hydrozoa, Anthoathecata, Hydridae.